AUGGCCACGAACCCCGGCCUCCUGAGCGAGUUCCCUUGGGAGAGGCUUGGCAGCUACAAGUACAUGCUGCUGGCGCCAUGGGUGGUGCACGGCUUGCAUCUGGUGGCGACCAGGGGGUGGCGCGAUGCCGACCUAGGCUACAUCCUCAUCCUCCCCAACAUGAUUCUCCGGGCGCUGCACAGCCAGGCCUGGAUCACCGUGUCCCGCCUCCAGAACGCGCGAGGCAAGCGCCAGAUUGUCCACCGUGGCAUCGAGUUCCAGCAGGUCGACCGCGAGCGCAACUGGGACGACAACCUCAUCCUGAGCACCAUCCUGAUGCUCCUGGCCGCGUUGUACAUGCCAGGCGGGCAGAACCUGCCGCUGUGGAGGACGGACGGCUUGGUGCUGCUGGCACUAAUACAUGCCGGCCCUGUCGAGUUCCUCUACUACUGGUUUCACCGUGCACUACACCACCACUUCCUCUACACACGCUACCACUCGCACCACCAUGACUCCAUAGUCACCGAGCCCAUUACAUCGGUGAUCCAUCCAUUUGCCGAACUCUUGGCCUAUACAUUUCUGUUUUCAAUCCCAAUGACCACCUGCCAGCUGACUGGAACUGGUUCCAUUAUCGUGUUUGCGGUAUAUUUGAUUUACAUUGAUUUCAUGAACAACAUGGGCCACUGCAACUUCGAAUUUGUCCCCAAUUGGCUCUUCAAAUGGAUUCCCCCUCUCAAGUAUCUCAUGUAUACACCGUCGUUUCAUUCUCUUCACCAUACUCAGUUCCGGACAAACUACUCUCUUUUCAUGCCAUUCUAUGAUUACAUUUACAACACCAUGGAUAAGGCAUCGGACACACUGCAUGAGAACUCACUCAAGGACAUAACGAAAGAAGUAGAUGUGGUUCACCUUACCCAUCUUACCAGCCUGCAGUCCAUCUAUCAUAUAAAUUAUGGGUUUUCCCAGUAUGCCUCCAAGCCUUAUAGUUCAAUGUGGCAACUACGGAUAAUGUGGCCCGUGUCAUAUCUCUCCAUGCUCCUCACAUGUGUGUAUGGUUCUUGGUUCACUCUUGAGAGGAAUUUCAUGGGGAAACUUACUAUCCAGUCAUGGGCCAUUCCAAGAUACAAUUUCCAUUAUGGAUUGAACUUGGAGAAGGAAGCAAUUAAUAGCCUGGUUGUAAAGGCCAUAUGUGAAGCUGACAAGAAAGGAGCCAAAGUUGUUAGUCUUGGACUCCUGAAUCAGGGGGAAAUCCAGAGUUACAAUAGUAGGACAGAUAUGGUCGCUCACAAUGUUAUUGUACUAUCUUCACCCAAACAGGGCCAGAACCUCAAUGGAAGUGGGCAACUUUAUCUGCAAAAGUACCCAAAGUUGGGGGUAAAACUGGUGGAUGGCACCAGCCUAGCUGCUGCCGUCAUUGCUAAUAGUAUCCCCCAAGGCACAUAUCAAGUUGUGCUUGCAGGAGAUAUUUCGAAGGUCGCACGUGCUGUGGCUCAAGCAUUGUGCAGGAAAAAUAUUAAGGUCACAAUGACAAACACGCAAGAUUAUCAUUUCCUUAAGGCGAAAAUACCAGAAGAUGCAGCUGGCAACCUUUCAUUGUUAUCAAAAACUGGCACUGCAAAGGUGUGGUUAAUCGGAGAAGGUUUAGAUGCUGACGAACAGUUGACGGCACCGAAAGGAACACGGUUUAUUCCAUACUCACAGUUCCCACCAAGAAAGCUACGUGAGGAGUGCUACACCUACUCAAUGACUCCGGCAAUGUGUGUUCCAAAAACACUACAGAACGUUCAUUCAUGCGAGAAUUGGCUGCCAAGGAGGGUGAUGAGUGCGUGGCGUAUUGCUGGGAUUGUUCAUGCAUUGGAGGGAUGGAACGAGCAUGAGUGCGGAGACACAGUCCUAGACAUGGACAAAGUUUGGUCUGCUGCAAUUUCGCAUGGUUUCCGCCCCGUUGCUACAGAUUGA
Molecule: ribosomal RNA, 1938 nt
Filed under: Triticum aestivum (bread wheat)
Lineage: Eukaryota; Viridiplantae; Streptophyta; Magnoliopsida; Poales; Poaceae
Description: partial small subunit ribosomal RNA
Source: RNAcentral